Molecule: long non-coding RNA, 1313 nt
Organism: Rhincodon typus (whale shark)
Lineage: Eukaryota; Metazoa; Chordata; Chondrichthyes; Orectolobiformes; Rhincodontidae
Exons: 3
Source: RefSeq, a predicted model, not a curated record
ACCUCUGCAGCUGGUUGAAAAUUUAUCGCAAGAAGCAAUUUGUCCGUGGUUUGUGGAACAAAUGUGGCCUGUAAAUUGCCUCGCCGAAUCACAAAUCUCUCUCAGCCGCAAGUUCACGCAAAGUGAAUCAUUUGAGGGGAAGUUCAAACUGACAAGAAAGUGGAGUUUAAAAAAAGUGACAUUUAUGGGAAAUGUGUCCAGCAAAGUUUAAGGAAGGUUCAGCAUUCCAAACUGAUACAAGUAUUAACCAUUUCACUGCCAAAUCUCCUCUACAGCUUGUACAAUCCAAAACCCUUGCAAGUGAGCACUUCUGACUUUUCUAAAGACGGCCACUAACUAAGACAGCAACUGAAGCUGAAGGAUUAGGUUGUCAAGCUCAGCUUGUCAUUUUCAAAAAGGACUGCUGCUUGUUACAUCUUCACAGACCCUGGCUAUUGCUCCCGACUUUAAAAGAAGACAACCGUAGCCUGCAUUGAUCAUGGAUGUCCUGCUUUUAUACAUUAGAAGUUGUGGGGCUGUAAAGCUAAUCACAUUUGUUGAGUAUGAAUUUAUCUAAAGGGAGGAUUUCAUGUGGAACCUCGAGGGUUAAUGGAAUGCUUGGCUGCACAUUCUAAGAGAGUAAGGAGGCUUCUCCCAAUCAGCUGUCAGCAGGCAUAAUAGCACAGGAUGGGCUGUGUUAAGAAACAAUAUUCAGCAGUUUGAAGGCUCCCUUCAGCCUUCACAAGGAGGCUGAGAUACACAUCACUUACUCCGAUAUUGAAAAAACCAUUGUUUUUUCUUUCCUCCUCACUUCUUCCUCCUGGGUUUGAAUGACUAACCAGUGGAGCUGAUCUGCCCACUUUAUCUCAUUAGAUGCACCAGAUAGAACACAUUGAUGUCAAUCUAUUGUUCACAGUCUUGAUUUGAACAAGGGCUCUGGUCAGGAGGGGGCUGCUUUCAACGUGCGGAGGGCAAAAGAAAGUUGAAUGGAGUUGAUAUCAUACAAGUGUUUAUCUUUUUGUCGUAAGAUUGGAUGAAAAAAGUCUGCACCAAAAAUAAAUUUUGGCCCUUUAGAAGUUUACUAAGGCAACACAGUUUAAUUUUGUGAAGUCAAUUAAUGAUUUUAAAUGUGUAAAAAUAAUCCUUGAUAUGUAUUUAACAAGCUAUGUGCAUUAUUUAGAAGGGAAAUCUAAACAAUUAAAAUCUCAUAAAUUGUAAAGGAUGUGUGUGAGUGUCAUUAAGGCAAGGAAAAACUGUGUCAUUGUUCAUUCUAUGUUAAGUCUUCUUCUCAUUUGUUCCUGUAUGAUCCUUUGAUCUCUCUGUCUAUAAAUUCU